This 76-nucleotide transfer RNA is filed under the name 'Fragaria x ananassa' phyllody phytoplasma. Its description in RNAcentral is "tRNA-Lys". It matches the Rfam family "tRNA". Rfam says of the family: Transfer RNA (tRNA) molecules are approximately 80 nucleotides in length. Lineage: Bacteria; Bacillati; Mycoplasmatota; Mollicutes; Acholeplasmatales; Acholeplasmataceae. The record is from RNAcentral.
GUCCCAUUAGCUCAGUUGGUAGAGCACUUGACUUUUAAUCAAGGUGUCGAAGGUUCGACCCCUUCAUGGGAUACCA